GGAUGAAGGCAAGGAAUGGGAAACUUCAUUCCUAUUGGUCGAAGGCCAUGCCCAAUGGAAUUCAAUGAGGCUGCCCAAGGCCUUAUUAAGGAUUAGGAUUUUUCUUUCAAAGUCAUUCGAGCUUUUGAAAUUAAGAUCAAUAAAUUCAAGGUUUUGGGUAUAAUUUGGAUGAAUAAUUUGUAUGAUUUCGAGUUUUUGUAAAGGAGAUAUAGGUGUUCAAAGUUAAGGUGUCAAAUUUGUAUCUACUAUCACUCUUUGAAGUAUAACAUAUGCGUACGGAGAGCAAUAAAAGUUUGGCGACUGCAAUUAGAGAGAAUACUUGCUUAGCUACACUUUACAUAUAUUGUUUGAUGAAUUCUAAGUUUGGAUGAAGGAGUUAUAGGGCAUUGAAGACAGCACAUGUAAUUCAAAGGUAAUAAGUGAGUCAUUUUGUUGAUAGUAAUGUUAUGAGCCGUAUCUUGAGUUCUUGAGCAAAUUUUUGGCUCAAAAUUUCUAUAAGUAUGUGUUAUUAAGUUAAAAAGCUAUAGAUCAAAGUUUCAUGGUAUUUGAGUACUUAU
Molecule: long non-coding RNA, 557 nt
Filed under: Physcomitrium patens
Lineage: Eukaryota; Viridiplantae; Streptophyta; Bryopsida; Funariales; Funariaceae
Description: long non-coding RNA (PPAT_LNC014209)
Source: RNAcentral